CGCGUAGGAAUCUGCCCAGUAGCGGGGGAUAGCCCGGGGAAACCCGGAUUAAUACCGCAUACGCCCCACGGGGGAAAGGCCGGGAUCUUCGGACCGGUCGCUAUUGGAUGAGCCUGCGUCGGAUUAGCUAGUUGGUGGGGUAAAGGCCUACCAAGGCGACGAUCCGUAGCUGGUCUGAGAGGAUGAUCAGCCACACCGGGACUGAGACACGGCCCGGACUCCUACGGGAGGCAGCAGUAAGGAAUAUUGGACAAUGGGCGCAAGCCUGAUCCAGCCAUCCCGCGUGCAGGAUGACGGCCC
This 300-nucleotide ribosomal RNA is filed under the name uncultured Alteromonadales bacterium. RNAcentral's name for it is "bacterial SSU rRNA". It matches the Rfam family "Bacterial small subunit ribosomal RNA", at positions 114 to 417 of the family's 1533-position model. Lineage: Bacteria; Pseudomonadati; Pseudomonadota; Gammaproteobacteria; Alteromonadales. The record is from RNAcentral.